This 360-nucleotide ribosomal RNA is filed under the name uncultured bacterium. RNAcentral's name for it is "bacterial SSU rRNA". It matches the Rfam family "Bacterial small subunit ribosomal RNA", at positions 28 to 394 of the family's 1533-position model. The record is from RNAcentral.
GACGAACGCUGGCGGCGUGCUUAACACAUGCAAGUCGAGCGGAAAGGCCUUUUGGGGUACUCGAGCGGCGAACGGGUGAGUAACACGUGAGUAAUCUGCCCAUCACUCUGGGAUAGCCAUCGGAAACGGUGAUUAAUACUGGAUAUGAGAUCUGGCCGCAUGGUUGGGUUUGGAAAGUUUUUCGUGAUGGAUGUGCUCGCGGCCUAUCAGCUUGUUGGUGGGGUAANGGCCUACCAAGGCUUCGACGGGUAGCCGGCCUGAGAGGGUGACCGGCCACACUGGGACUGAGACACGGCCCAGACUCCUACGGGAGGCAGCAGUGGGGAAUAUUGGACAAUGGGCGGAAGCCUGAUCCAGCAA